GAAAACGGCUGUCUAUCAACCAGGAAGAGGCCCUCACCAGAAUCCGCCACACUGACACCCUGAUCUCAGGAUUCCAGCCUCCAGAACUGCGAGAAAUAAAUUUCUGUUGUUAAUAAGCCACCUAGUCUAUGACAUUCCAUUAUAGCCUCCCUGGCAGAUGAAGACGCUCAGUCUCCCAGUUUGUCAAACAAGCUGAGCGCUCAGCUAUCUGGGAGAAGAGGCCCCGUCCCGUCUCGGCUGCAGCAGAUGAAGACUGGACCAUAUGCCGAUCGCUUGGCUGGACCCGUGAAUCUGAGAGACUUCCCAUUCCAUUUUCAAAACUUCCAGCAAAGCCAGAUGUAUGAGAAAAAAGACAUCCGGCCUCUGUAAGUUUUGACACAGUAGGAAACAGACUGAUCCCUGGAAGAUCAAUACAAAAGGCAACGCGGCAGUUCGACAGCUGAAAAUACAGGCGGCGGCAGCCAGCCACGCCUGUGGGCAGGGGAGAGGGAGUAGAAUGUACUUACGGACCCAGUAAUACUGACCAUAUUGAAGGGUAAGUGGCAUCCAAAGCGAGGCUGGCACUUGCUAAAGUGGUAGUAAACCAGAGCACACCUUCAGUGCCGGAGAAGAACGUUUCUGUCGCUCCCUGGAACUGCUCCUGGAAAUGCCAUGGCUCAGAUGAAGCCCACACAUGCCCAUACCCACAGCUUCAGUUUUUUA
RNAcentral lists this long non-coding RNA (702 nucleotides) under Homo sapiens (human). Its description in RNAcentral is "non-protein coding lnc-MAP3K8-6:1". Lineage: Eukaryota; Metazoa; Chordata; Mammalia; Primates; Hominidae. The record is from RNAcentral.